GACGAACGCUGGCGGCGUGCUUAACACAUGCAAGUCGAACGGAAAGGCCCUGCUUUUGUUGGUUUCUCGAGUGGCGAACGGGUGUGUAUCACGUGAGUAACCUGCCCUUGACUUUGUGAUAACUUCAGGGAACUGGGGCUAAUACCGGAUAGGAGCUCCUGCUGCAUGGUGGGGGUUGGAAAGUUUCGGCGGUUGGGGCUGUACUCGCUGCUUAUCCGCUUGUUAGUGUGGUAGUGGAUUCCAAAGGCUUUGACGGGUAGCCGGCCUGAGAGGGUGAACGGGCACAAUGGGCCUGCGAGAGGGACCAGAAGCGAACGGGAGGCAGCGGUGGGGAGUCUUGCACAACGGGGCGACGCCUGAGGCAGCAACGUCGGGAGCGGGAUGCUGGCCUUCGGGGUGUAAACCGAUUUGGAAGGAAACGAAGAGUGAGUGACGGUAAUGGGUCAAGAAGCAACGGCUAACUACGUG
This 468-nucleotide ribosomal RNA is filed under the name uncultured bacterium. Its description in RNAcentral is "partial 16S ribosomal RNA". It matches the Rfam family "Bacterial small subunit ribosomal RNA", at positions 28 to 507 of the family's 1533-position model. The record is from RNAcentral.